Molecule: ribosomal RNA, 496 nt
Filed under: uncultured bacterium
Lineage: Bacteria
Description: partial 16S ribosomal RNA
Rfam family: Bacterial small subunit ribosomal RNA
Source: RNAcentral
GACGAACGCUGGCGGCGUGCCUAAUACAUGCAAGUUGAGCGCUGAAGGUUGGUACUUGUACCGACUGGAUGAGCAGCGAACGGGUGAGUAACGCGUGGGGAAUCUGCCUUUGAGCGGGGGACAACAUUUGGAAACGAAUGCUAAUACCGCAUAAAAACUUUAAACACAAGUUUUAAGUUUGAAAGAUGCAAUUGCAUCACUCAAAGAUGAUCCCGCGUUGUAUUAGCUAGUUGGUGAGGUAAAGGCUCACCAAGGCGACGAUACAUAGCCGGUCGGAGGGGAUGAGGAGCCACACGGGAACUGAGACACGCCCCAGACUCCUACGGGAGGCAGCAGUGGGGAAUAUUGGACAAUGGGCGCAAGCCUGAGCAAGACAUACCGCGUGGGUAAAGAGGUUUUUGGGGUUGAAAAGCCUUUUUGUUGGGAAAGAAAAGGAGGAGGUUAAAACCCCGCUGAUCUGACGGUACCCAAAGAAAAAGCACCGGCUAACUUCGUG